This 253-nucleotide ribosomal RNA is filed under the name uncultured bacterium. RNAcentral describes it as "partial 16S ribosomal RNA". It matches the Rfam family "Bacterial small subunit ribosomal RNA", at positions 524 to 776 of the family's 1533-position model. The record is from RNAcentral.
UACGUAGGGUGCAAGCGUUAAUCGGAAUUACUUGGCGUAAAGCGUGCGCAGGCGGUUUUUUAAGUCUGACGUGAAAUCCUCGGGCUCAACCUUGGAAUUGCGUUGGAGACUGCAAGGCUAGAAUCUGGCAGAGGGGGGUAGAAUUCCACGUGUAGCAGUGAAAUGCGUAGAGAUGUGGAGGAACACCGAUGGCGAAAGCAGCCCCCUGGGUCAAGAUUGACGCUCAUGCACGAAAGCGUGGGGAGCAAACAGG